GGAGGAAUUCCCGAGCGGCCAAAGGGGGCAGACUGUAAAUCUGUUGUCAUCGACUUCGAUGGUUCGAAUCCAUCUUCCUCCACCA
Molecule: transfer RNA, 85 nt
Filed under: Clostridium scatologenes
Lineage: Bacteria; Bacillati; Bacillota; Clostridia; Eubacteriales; Clostridiaceae
Also listed under: 5 other names
Description: tRNA-Tyr (GTA) (tRNA-Tyr-GTA-1-1, tRNA-Tyr-GTA-1-2)
Rfam family: tRNA
About the family: Transfer RNA (tRNA) molecules are approximately 80 nucleotides in length.
Source: RNAcentral